Molecule: transfer RNA, 83 nt
Filed under: Arthrobacter caoxuetaonis
Lineage: Bacteria; Bacillati; Actinomycetota; Actinomycetes; Micrococcales; Micrococcaceae
Description: Arthrobacter sp. zg-Y453 tRNA-Leu
Rfam family: tRNA
About the family: Transfer RNA (tRNA) molecules are approximately 80 nucleotides in length. Their secondary structure includes four short double-helical elements and three loops (D, anti-codon, and T loops).
Source: RNAcentral
GCCCGUCUGGCGAAACGGCAGACGCGCCGGCAUGAGGUGCCGGUGCCCGAAAGGGCGUCCGGGUUCAAAUCCCGGGAUGGGCA